This 70-nucleotide transfer RNA is filed under the name Camelus bactrianus (Bactrian camel). It matches the Rfam family "tRNA". From Rfam's summary of the family: Transfer RNA (tRNA) molecules are approximately 80 nucleotides in length. Their secondary structure includes four short double-helical elements and three loops (D, anti-codon, and T loops). Lineage: Eukaryota; Metazoa; Chordata; Mammalia; Artiodactyla; Camelidae. RNAcentral also lists the same sequence under 2 other names. The record is from Rfam by way of RNAcentral.
GGGUGUAGCUCAGUAGUAGAGCACAUGCUUAGCAUGCAUGAGGUCCCAGGUUCAAUCCUCAGUACAGCCA